RNAcentral lists this ribosomal RNA (420 nucleotides) under Shigella flexneri. RNAcentral's name for it is "bacterial SSU rRNA". It matches the Rfam family "Bacterial small subunit ribosomal RNA", at positions 367 to 779 of the family's 1533-position model. Lineage: Bacteria; Pseudomonadati; Pseudomonadota; Gammaproteobacteria; Enterobacterales; Enterobacteriaceae. The record is from RNAcentral.
CACAAUGGGCGCAAGCCUGAUGCAGCCAUGCCGCGUGUAUGAAGAAGGCCUUCGGGUUGUAAAGUACUUUCAGCGGGGAGGAAAGGAGUAAAGUUAAUACCUUUGCUCAUUGACGUUACCCGCAGAAGAAGCACCGGCUAACUCCGUGCCAGCAGCCGCGGUAAUACGGAGGGUGCAAGCGUUAAUCGGAAUUACUGGGCGUAAAGCGCACGCAGGCGGUUUGUUAAGUCAGAUGUGAAAUCCCCGGGCUCAACCUGGGAACUGCAUCUGAUACUGGCAAGCUUGAGUCUCGUAGAGGGGGGUAGAAUUCCAGGUGUAGCGGUGAAAUGCGUAGAGAUCUGGAGGAAUACCGGUGGCGAAGGCGGCCCCCUGGACGAAGACUGACGCUCAGGUGCGAAAGCGUGGGGAGCAAACAGGAUU